RNAcentral lists this ribosomal RNA (452 nucleotides) under uncultured bacterium. RNAcentral's name for it is "bacterial SSU rRNA". It matches the Rfam family "Bacterial small subunit ribosomal RNA", at positions 354 to 796 of the family's 1533-position model. The record is from RNAcentral.
GUGGGGAAUAUUGCGCAAUGGGGGAAACCCUGACGCAGCAACGCCGCGUGAGUGAUGAAGGCCUUCGGGUCGUAAAGCUCUGUCGGCAGGAACGAUGGUUUGGUGGCCUAAUACGUCAUCAGAUUGACGGUACCUGCAAAGGAAGCACCGGCUAACUCUGUGCCAGCAGCCGCGGUAAGACAGAGGGUGCAAGCGUUGUUCGGAAUUAUUGGGCGUAAAGGGCGCGUAGGCGGCCCAUCAAGUCAGAUGUGAAAGCCCAGGGCUCAACCUUGGAAGUGCAUCUGAAACUGAUGAGCUAGAGUUCACGGAGAGGGUGGUGGAAUUCCCAGUGUAGAGGUGAAAUUCGUAGAUAUUGGGAGGAACACCGGUGGCGAAGGCGACCACCUGGACGGAAACUGACGCUGAGACGCGAAAGCGUGGGUAGCAAACAGGAUUAGAAACCCCUGUAGUCC